GAGACCUCAGUCAGACGAAUACACU
RNAcentral lists this ribosomal RNA (25 nucleotides) under Phaseolus vulgaris (common bean). Its description in RNAcentral is "partial large subunit ribosomal RNA". The record is from RNAcentral. Lineage: Eukaryota; Viridiplantae; Streptophyta; Magnoliopsida; Fabales; Fabaceae.